This 266-nucleotide long non-coding RNA is filed under the name Brassica napus (rape). RNAcentral describes it as "long non-coding RNA (BNAP_LNC023400)". Lineage: Eukaryota; Viridiplantae; Streptophyta; Magnoliopsida; Brassicales; Brassicaceae. The record is from RNAcentral.
GGGUGGAUUUAGGUUUAGAUAUAGAGCUUUAUAUAGGAAAAAGAUCAAGGGGGAGGAGUAACGAAACAUUCAAGAACAACUUUAAAUCAUUACUAAUUGAGAAGGUAACGGAGAAAAGAAAAAUCAGACAUGGGAGAAGAUGAAGUGGAAGAUUUGGGGAAGAGAGAAGACGAAGCAAGUUUGUCGGUAUGGGCUGAGAUGGGCCGGAUAGAAAAUUUAAGAAAACCCACACAGAAGCCCAGUCUAACUCAGCAGCAGUGUGACAU